ACUGAAAAAUUUAGAUUAUAAAAUUAUUUCUUAACUGUUUCUUGAGUUUCGUUUUCAUACAUUAUUAACCCAACAACCAAAUAAAAAAACCCACUACCUAUAAUUCAGAUAGAGAUGGUUUGGUUAACUAACAAGAAAUAAUUAAAAGCGUUAAUUACCUAUAUACCCCUCAAAAUUUUUAAAAUAUUUUAUUUUUAUUUCAAAUAAACCCCUAGUAUAUUUUUAUUAUUUAAAAAUACUUUUGCAGUUAAUGCCUGUUAAAUUAUCUCAGAUUAAAUACGGUUUAAAUUUUUACCAAAAUUUAAAAAAAUAAAAUAUUUCUUUUGCUCUUAAUUUAAGUGCAAAUAAGAAAAGCCAGUUACGGUAAAUGAGUAUAUUUAAAGAAAAAAGGCAAAAUAUUUUUUUGUUCCUAACUUAAGUACAAAUAAAAAUAUUUUUGUUCCUAACUUAAAUACAAAUAAAAAAAUUAGUAACGAGAGAUAGGUACAUUUAAAAGAGCAAAAAAAUACUUCACAGAGAUAUUCCAUAGCCCUAUAGUAUUGUGAUGGCCCAACUUUCUAGGUGUCACCCAUCCUACAAUUAUGUGAGGGUCCAACUUUUCAAGGGAUUACUUAUUCUAAACUAUUUUAAUCCUAACAUUCUUAAUUCUCUUAAUUUUUUGGAUCUAAUCAUCUACAAAAUUGUUAUAGACAGGUUAGGAGUUUUAACUCUAUUAUAUUUUAUAUAUAAAAUAAUCUAAGGUCUCACAUUUUCUCUCCAUUUAAGUCCUAACAUUUAUUUUCGGCUCGUAAUUUAUUCUGAUACCAACUAUGACACCCCACUUUCCAACGGGUCAUCCAUCCUAAAACUACUCAAUCCCUAAUGCGCUUAACUUUCUUAACCUCUUAGAUUUAAAUAUCGUCCAAAAUAAUAUAACCGGAUUAAGAGUUUUAGUUAUAUUAUAUGUUAUAUAUAAGAUUAUAUGGGAUCUUACAAAUUCACUAAUAAAAUUUAAUUUUAAAAAUAAAUAAAUAAAUAAAUAAAUAAAUAACUUUUUGAGGUAUGUAUAUGGAGUCCGGCUACUAUACUCUUAUGAGUACGAUCGCCUUCGUACUCAUAAGUUAUUUUCGAUGGUAGAGGUUCCGAAUCGACGAUCCAUACCGUUAAAUAUUUUCUAGAGCGUUUAAAACUUCUAGAAAUCAAAUUUCAUAAUUUUUCGACAUUAGUUACCUUACGAUCAAAAGCUCACAAAAUUAAUAAUUUUUAGCGGCCGGUACGUGAUACUUGCUAGUUUACCGGAGGAAAAAAAUCGGAAUAGAUUGAAUUUUUGAUAGAAAAUUUUAUUCACUACCUAUUAGAUAAAGAUCAAUAACUCCGAUCUUAAAUUGAAAGAUCCGAUCAUCCACUUUAGGACGUUGUUUGAUUUCGACCUUUCAUUUUAUGCCUGCUUGAUGGAUUUUAUUAUGGUUUCUAAAAAUUACGAAAUUUAUUCUCUAGAAUAUGAAUGUCAAUGGGUAUGGAUAUCCGAAAUUUUAUUCGAAUUCGAACUCGAAUGAAACGGAUAUAUCCGAUGGAUAUGGAUAUGGAUUUGGAUGUGGAUAUAAAAAAUAAAAACCCGACGGAUAUG
This 1606-nucleotide long non-coding RNA is filed under the name Ananas comosus (pineapple). RNAcentral describes it as "long non-coding RNA (ACOM_LNC026948)". Lineage: Eukaryota; Viridiplantae; Streptophyta; Magnoliopsida; Poales; Bromeliaceae. The record is from RNAcentral.